UGGGAACUGUAGUCUGAAAGCGACUCCGUACCGCGACAGAGUAGAGACUUCUGGGUAGUGUAGUUGUACGUGGGGACGUGCGGCAACCAGGAAGUUGGCUUGCCGGGAAGAAUAGCAGCGAUGUUAAGUGGACCGACCCAGUGAGAAAAGCGCUGCCUGGGAAGCAAACUACAAGUUCCAGAGUGCCUCGCGCUGGAGGCCGUCCCAGGACAGCUCCAGGCAUCCUAAGGUGCAUUCUAGCGUGAGUCUCUGCUCCGCCUCCGUCCGAGCAGUGAGCGGUUUCUUCAAUUGAGCUAUGUCUCCGCGUGGUGUCCGAGCUAGCAGGCUUAACAGGCUCUCCUGUGUUCAAGAGUGGCGAGCCUGCGGUCAUCAACUGCCUCCUCGCGCUGCAGACCAGAGAGAGACUGGCCUGAUGGAGAUCGAGUAGGAAAGGCUGGCGCGAACCUCGGGUUCCCCACAGCCAUUUGCGUCUUGGGACCUGUUAUAUGCCUCCCAUGAACGCAUCCAGUAUAUGAAGACAUAAACUGGGACAAAAGCUGCACGGGCUUAUACUCCACAUUUGCCACACAAGAUGCACUUUUUUUUUUAAAGGGUCCUUCUAAGGAUUUUCCAUUGUAACAGGCAAAUUCUCACUACCUGUUUAUAUUAUGAACAACCUCUUCUCCACAACACUAUGUGAGUAUCGGAAUCUGGGAAGCAGACAGCAACUUUUACCCAGUGUGUCAACUUCUUCCUUUCUAUACCACUCAAACAGCAACCACAGUGGCUUCUUGUCGUUCUCAAAUUUUAAAAUGCACUGGUUUGAUGAUGGAGCACUUCUGCUUCCAGGGAUUAGUAGAUCUACUUGCACAUUCUUGCAAAAUGACAUAUGCAUAAAAAUAUACAUUGCAGCAUUGUUUGUAAGAGAUGAACUAUUUAAAUGUCUGUUAGUAGGGAGCCACUUAAAUCAACACAGAGGACUAUAUGGCCUCUUAAAAGAAUAAAUAAUAUCUGUAUGGACUGACAGGGAAAAUCUACAGAAAUAUUUUUAAGUAAAAAGAGUGAGAUGGAUACCAGAGCACACAAUGUGCUACAUUGAAAGGGAAGAAUGGGCAUACAGGCAAAUAUUGUAAAUGAAUAGAAGACCCUGGAGGACAUCCAGUACCCUGUGGACAAUGGUUGCCCAAGGAGCAAGGACUGGGAAGCUGCUGAAUGUCAGAAGGGAAGUAUAUUUUUCACUGAGUACCUGGUAUUGGUUGAAUUGUGUCACUCGAACUCAAAUGAAGUCCUAACCCACACUACUUCAAAAUGGGACCUUAUUUGGCAGUUAUAAUUAGCUAAAUGCUGACAAACUACAAUGAGUCCCUUAAAAAAGAGAAUAUGUUUGUGUGCAUGUGUGUACAUUAUACACGCAUAGCAUAAGGACUGGCUGUAACUGACAUCUGUUUGUUCCAGCCAGCAGAUAGUUUGCCCUUGAAGCUAGCAGUGGGUAUUCUACCUGAACAUCAUCAUUCCUAGGCUCUUCCCAUACCUCACAAGAAGAAUGGUGGAUGGGUGGGAAGAAGGAUAGGGCCUAAGUGAGUACAGGUACAGGAAAAGGCUUCCAGGCAGGCCGCCUCCUUGGUCCUGGAAGUUUUGAAGAAAGUGGGAGAACUAUGGUAGUGGGUUUCUAGGGAAUUGGGCCAAACAGGGCCUGCUCCUUCAGGGACAGUGAAAACCAAGCAGGGUCUUAUCGCUCUCAUUUGAAUAAAGCUCCAAGAGCUGAAAUGGAAGGCUGGAAACACAAACAAAUGACCUUGCUAAGAUUCCAUCUGAUCCAGAAAGAAUGGCUGUCAUCAAGAAACCAACCAAUAACAAAUGCUGGUGAGGUUGUGGGGAAAAUGAAACCUUCUCCACCGUUGUGGGGGAGUAUAGACUGGUGCAACCCACUGUGGAAAUUCCUCAAAAAACUAGAAUUAGAGGUCCCAUUUGACCCAGCUAUUCCUCCCCACUUGGUAUUUUCCCUAAAAUAUCAUAAACAUCGUACCACAAUGAUGUACAUGCAUCCCAUUUAUAGUGACAUAGUUUAUAAAAGCUAAAUCUGAGAAACAGCCCAAAUGUCCAUCAGCCAAUGAAUAGGUAAAGAUGUGACUUUUUUUUUACAUACAGUGAAGUACUAUUUGCCCAUAAAGGAUACCGUGGAGCCAUUUCUAGCUAAAUUAAUGCACCUUGAGAACAUACUCUUAAGUGAAAUGAAUCAGACAAACAUGUUUAAAUUCUAUAUUGUUUCUCUGUGAUAACAAAGCUAAAGUAUAAAUAAGAACCAAAAUGUAUAACUAGAUAUUGGGAAAGGGGAACAAAAUGUUCAAAUGAAAAGGUAAACAAGCGAAGGGCAGAAAGGGAAAAGAAAAAAAGGGAAUAGGAAGAAAAAAUGGAAAGGAAGCUUUUGUAAGCAAGAAGGAGAAAAGGAAUUGAAGGGAGGGCAGAGGAAUGGGGGAAAAAAAAGCAAGAUAUCAUAUACAGGUACAAUUCCCUAUGGUGGGUGUUAUCAUUAUGUAUAUUUAAAAUGGACCAAUACGUUUUUUAAAGAGAGGGAAAUCUGAACAUUGACAAGCACACAAUGAGAACGCCACAUGAAGAGAUGAAGGAACAAUUGGACGGAAGCCCAGCAAAUUACCAAAAACUAAAGAGAAAGGACAGAACAGAUUUUUCCUCUUAGUCUUUGGGCAAGAUGUUGGUCCUUGGUCCUUGGUAUUUGCUGUGGGUCUGGUCAGGUAUGAAUUUAUCCUCCAGAACUGUAGACAAUAUAUUUCUAUUAUUUUAAACCACUCCAUUUGUGGUAAUUUGUAACAUAGUCCUAGCACUCUUUGGUAACUAAUACAGCACCCUUUGGUAGCUUUUGAGUUCUGGAGCAUUUACCUAUGUGUAUUACAGAUUUUAAAAUAUUUUCAAUACCAAUGACCCCUCUUUCAGGAGGCUUUCCCAGACUCACCAGAUGGUUCUAUUCUUUGUGCUCCCAGAGUACUUUAGCUAUCUCUGCAACAUGAUGGAUCCAGAUAUAACUGGUACUUAACCACUCACAGGGUGUCUUAGUUACUUUUCUCUUGCUGCUGGGACAAAAUACCCAACACUCAAAAUUAAGGAACGAAAGAUUUAUUUAGCUCAUAAUUUGUGGAGGUUUCAGUCCAUAAUCAACUUGCUCCAAGCAUGGCACAGGGGCAAAAAUUCAAGGUGGCAGAAGACAGUAAAAGCAGCAAGAACAAAAGGGAAAGAGCAAACCUCUUUUCCUCCCUUAUAUUGUAAGCAGUCCCCCCACCCCAAUCCCGUCCAGCUGGGUACAGCACUCAAACCCUCUCCCAUUUCCACCUCUUGCUCAGGAUGAGAAUGUUUACAAAGUAAGGACCCUGGCCCUCUGCUGAGUGCUUAGUUGAACUUCUACACUCAGACUGACACAGGAGUGUCCUCUCCACAAAAUCCCUAACUCUUACAGAUCAAGGGCUGAGCUGACAUUAUCAUUAUAGUCCCAGAGCCAAGUGUUCAAGGUUUGCUGGAGUGAAACCAGAUAGUUUCCACUUCCUUCCUGACACAACCUGCUAUUUAUUGGUUUGGGCUUGAUAAACUAUUACUUCAUUUAUGUUUAGUCGGAGUGACAACUAAGACCUGACCUUGACUUGUGGAGGGUCUUGAUAGAUAGGAGGAAAGAAAUCACUUAUAAUAAAAGAAUAGCAUUCUAAAUGAGCUAAGAGUUUAGCACAAGUCAGGGAUAUAUUCUUUAAACAACAAGUGAGUUAAUUCUUGCCUGAGAGAGAUGAAGAAUCAAGAAAACCUUUCUUGCUGGAUGAAGGAUAACUAAGACAAUGCGUGAGUUAUUGUUUCAAGACUUCGACUGCAGAAGUGACAUGCCCUUGAUCUUCCUUGGCUUUUCAAUCAUCAUGACCUUCUGUAUCAUCAUGUCUAUGUGUCGGCAUUUCCCUCUUCUCUAAAGAAUAUCAGGCAUUGGACUAAGUCCUACUCUUAGGACUAGCAUAACCUCUUGUUUUGUUUUGUUUUUUAAAGUUGCUCAGGCUGGGCUUGAACUUGCAACUUCUUGCCUUGGGCUCCCAGGGUGCUGGAACGAUAAUCAUGUGCUAGCAUACCAACUUAGUAAAACUUCAACUUGAAAAUAAGGUGUCAUUCUGAGAUUCCAGGUGGCCAUGAAUUUGGGGUUACGCUACGUAACUCAGUGCAGCUGCUCAGCUGGGACUCACAUAGGAGAGAGAAAAUCCAGGUCUUGGAGUCAGAUGCACUUGCUUUCAGACCCUGGGUCUACCUGAAGGUCAGCUAGGUGAUCUUGGUCAAGUUACUCAGCAUCUGUAAAUCUGAUUCUCAUCUGUACUUAAUAAUGGCCAUGUCUCCUAGGGCUGCCAGGCAGAUAAAUGAGAUUAGUCCUGACAGUCAGCAUGGUACCUGAUAAUUUUUUCUUUUUUAGGUUGGACUAUGACAGUGAGGGGAACAGACUGAUGUGCCUGGGGUUGGGAGAGGCAGUUACUCUCCCAUGUUGUGUCUCUAAAAUCCCAGCUGGGCUGUUCUCCCUGUGCCCUGUGCUUUUGCCUAAAGGUCGUGAGAGUGUCUGGGCUGGGGGAGGGGGACAAGAACAGUGUUUCCACAUCAAGGACUGUGGACCACACCUGGGCAGCCCUGUACCCCACCCCCAGCAGGGGAAUCACAGCCCAUGCACUCUACUCAUUAUGCCCUGAAGAUCAGCGCCAGCCAGGUGCAACUCCUACCCAUUUAGCCCUGGCCUGCUCCUGCUUGCUCAGCUCUCUCCUGGAUGGCACAUCAUUCCCAUUACUCUUCACUUUCUCCUUUCCUGUCUCGACAACAACAACAAAAAAUUAGUGACGAGUUCUUCCCUCGUGCGCGGUUCCAAGUCAAUAUGGCACUGGACAGAGCCUACCUUCAACACCGACUUCUGCCUUAUUCUUGCAAAUCUGAAAAAUCGGACUUUUACUUUUUGCACGGUAACACUCCCCCAAUCAGCUGUCAGUAUGUCUGUUCUGCCCGCCCUUUUGAUAUCAUCCCUGUCAAGACCAAAUAAGAGCCCGAGGUUUUGUUUGUCUCCCUCAGAGGAUGUUUGUAUCUCUUCGGCAGCCUCCCAGUGCCUUCAAUAAAGGCCUCUUUUUUUUUUUCUUU
This is an RNA transcript of Cavia porcellus (domestic guinea pig), 5130 nucleotides long. RefSeq lists it as uncharacterized. NCBI's taxonomy places the organism in Eukaryota, Metazoa, Chordata, Mammalia, Rodentia, Caviidae. The record is from RefSeq and is a predicted model, not a curated record. The transcript is spliced from 2 exons.